CCUAACACGCUGGCGGCGCGCCUAACACAUGCAAGUCGAACGAGAAAGUCCGCAAGGAUGAGUAAAGUGGCGUACGGGUGAGUAACACGUGGAUGAUCUGCCCUUUAGUGGGGAAUACCGCUGGGAAACCGGCGACAAUACCGCAUAAGCUCGAGAGAGGAAAGCAGCAAUGCGCUGAAGGAGGAGUCCGCGGCCGAUUAGCUAGUUGGUAGGGUAAAGGCCUACCAAGGCUGUGAUCGGUAGCCGGCCUGAGAGGGCACACGGCCACACUGGCACUGAAACACGGGCCAGACUCCUACGGGAGGCAGCAGUGGGGAAUCUUGCACAAUGGGGGAAACCCUGAUGCAGCGACGCCGCGUGAGCGAUGAAGCCCUUCGGGGUGUAAAGCUCUUUCGGCAGGGAAGAUUAUGACGGUACCUGCAGAAGCAGCUGCGGCUAACUACGUGCCAGCAGCCGCGGUAAUACGUAGCAGCAAGCGUUGUUCGGAGUUACUGGGCGUAAAGGGUGCGCAGGCGGCUCUAUAAGUAUGGUGUGAAAUCUCCCGGCUUAACUGGGAGGGUGCGCUAUAGACUGUGGGGCUCGAGUGUGGGAGAGGAAAGUGGAAUUCUGGUGUACCGGUGAAAUGCGUAGAUAUCAGGAGGAACACCGGUGGUGUAAAC
This 659-nucleotide ribosomal RNA is filed under the name uncultured bacterium. RNAcentral describes it as "bacterial SSU rRNA". It matches the Rfam family "Bacterial small subunit ribosomal RNA", at positions 25 to 722 of the family's 1533-position model. The record is from RNAcentral.